Molecule: long non-coding RNA, 1063 nt
Filed under: Amborella trichopoda
Lineage: Eukaryota; Viridiplantae; Streptophyta; Magnoliopsida; Amborellales; Amborellaceae
Description: long non-coding RNA (ATRI_LNC001639)
Source: RNAcentral
GCCAUUUGAAAAUUGAUUUUACUAUAUUUUCUAAAAUAUGGGAAUUGGCCAUUUGAAGUGGCACUUAACACCUUGGCCCACAUCCUUCAUUUGAUAACCAAGUUACUAAGUAAAUAAGGUACUCUCUCUUACUACCUUGAUUCACAACCCUUUGAAAAACUGGAAACAUCAUGAUAUAAAAACAACAUUAAAACAGUAUAGAAGCAUAUAUUGUUGCACAACUGCGGCAUUACAGACUCCACUAGGCCUUACUUAGAUUUUUCGCCUCAUAAAUCCUGAUAGUGAAACACAACAGUACUAUGAUCCCCCUCGUCACUCUCCUUACUACUAGCUAUUGUUAGUUGGACUUUGUAAAUUCAUUAAUUGAAUUAAUGUCAAAUUAUAAAUUGUAUUGCAUAUCUCUAUAGUAUUCAAAUAUUAAUUUAUAUAAAAAAGUGUUCCAAAUUUUUUUUUAUAAGAUAAAUAUAUGUAAUAUGAUAGUAUACACUUAAUAUAAUUUUUCUAUUUUUUUAUUUUUUUUAAUUGAAGGGUUUUUUACCCAAUUUAAAAAAAAAAAAUCUACUUGACCGGUUAGUCCGGUUAACCACCCCGGUUAGUCCAAUUCCGGUUCAAACCGCUCCCAGCCCCUUGACCAGUUAACCGUUCCGGUAUAUAUAUAUAUAUAUUAUAACAAUGAAAAUUUAUCAAAAUACCUAUAAAAGUUCAACUAUUUAACUUUUUACCCAAUUGUAAUAUUCCAAGUCAAUAUCGUGGAAAGUGUUGUUUUGAUCCGUAAAACCCUCGAAUCCAAUCUUCUCAACCUUAGAUAUGUGAACAUCAAAAAAAUUGAUUUCAAGUCUUGAAAAUAGUGCAUCUGCAUUUUCUAAGCUGUCAAUUUUUAAGAUUUUGAAGUGUUUAAAGAUUUACUUGAUUUACACUAAUUUUUAAGCUUUAAGCUUUAUAAUUAGAUAUGAAAAUCAGUUUUCAAGUUAUUAUAAUGAUAUUCAGUACUAAAACGACAUCUUUCGAGACUAUUUGAAGGUGUGCCUUUGAUUAUUUAGGGCCCAAGCCUUAUACAAACCAC